Molecule: small nucleolar RNA, 97 nt
Organism: Trypanosoma brucei brucei TREU927
Lineage: Eukaryota; Euglenozoa; Kinetoplastea; Trypanosomatida; Trypanosomatidae
Source: RefSeq, a predicted model, not a curated record
GCCACUGAUGCUGUGAUGCAUAAUUGUUGUUCGAGGUCCAAACAGUUUGAGCGAUGCAUUGAUAACGGAACAUCAAAAAUCACCUUUCGGCUGAGCA